UGUGCAAACAAUGUCGACAAGCGGCAUCCCCAUUCGGCCCGUCUUGAAACACGGACCAAGGAGUCUGACAUGCUUGCGAGCCGACGGGUGCAGAAGCCCGGGAGGUGCAAGGAAGCUAAUGCGUGUGGGAUCCCCCAGUCGGGGGGUGCACCACCCACCGACCCUGAUCUUAUGUGAAGGGUUCGAGUGCGAGCAAGCCUGUUGGGACCCGAAAGAUGGUGAACUAUGCCUGAGCGGGGCGAGGCCAGGGGAAACUCUGGUGGAGGCCCGCAGCGAUACUGACGUGCAAAUCGUUCGUUUGACUUGGGUAUAGGGGCGAAAGACUAAUCGAACCAUCUAGUAGCUGGUUCCCUCCGAAGUUUUCCCUCAGGAUAGCUGGAGCCCUCUUCGAAGUUCUAUCGGGUAAAGCGAAUGAUUAGAGGCAUCGGGGGCACAAUGCCCUCGACCUAUUCUCAAACUUUAAAUAGGUAGGAUGGCUCGGCUGCUUUGGUGAGCUGAGCCACGGAAUCCAGGCUCCAAGUGGGCCAUUUUUGGUAAGCAGAACUGGCGAUGCGGGAUGAACCGAAAGCCGGGUUACGGUGCCUAAUUGUGCGCUAACCUAGAGCCCACAAAGGGUGUUGGUCGAUUAAGACAGCAGGACGGUGGUCAUGGAAGUCGAAAUCCGCUAAGGAGUGUGUAACAACUCACCUGCCGAAUCAACUAGCCCCGAAAAUGGAUGGCGCUUAAGCGCGCAACCCACACCCGGCCGUCGGUGUUACGCCAAGCGCCGACGAGUAGGAGGGCGCAGCGGCCGUUGUGAAACCCAGGGCGCGAGCCCCGUGCGGAGCGGUCGUCCGGUGCGGAUCUUGU
RNAcentral lists this ribosomal RNA (849 nucleotides) under Epistephium sp. Chase O-433. RNAcentral's name for it is "eukaryotic LSU rRNA". It matches the Rfam family "Eukaryotic large subunit ribosomal RNA", at positions 611 to 1454 of the family's 3401-position model. Lineage: Eukaryota; Viridiplantae; Streptophyta; Magnoliopsida; Asparagales; Orchidaceae. The record is from RNAcentral.